UAGGGAAUCUUCCACAAUGGACGCAAGUCUGAUGGAGCAACGCCGCGUGAGUGAAGAAGGGUUUCGGCUCGUAAAGCUCUGUUGUUAAAGAAGAACGUGGGUAAGAGUAACUGUUUACCCAGUGACGGUAUUUAACCAGAAAGUCACGGCUAACUACGUGUCAG
RNAcentral lists this ribosomal RNA (164 nucleotides) under uncultured bacterium. Its description in RNAcentral is "partial 16S rRNA". It matches the Rfam family "Bacterial small subunit ribosomal RNA", at positions 355 to 511 of the family's 1533-position model. The record is from RNAcentral.